Molecule: ribosomal RNA, 1305 nt
Filed under: uncultured bacterium
Lineage: Bacteria
Description: partial 16S ribosomal RNA
Rfam family: Bacterial small subunit ribosomal RNA
Source: RNAcentral
GGCGCACGGGUGCGUAACGCGUAUGCAACCAGCCCCGUCCAGGCGGAUAGCCGGUGGAAACGCCGGAUAAUACGCCACGGUCCCGGAGGGUGGCAUCCCUUUCCGGGUGAAGCGGAGACGCGGGACGGGACGGGCAUGCGUGCCAUUAGCUUGUUGGCGGGGCGACGGCCCACCAAGGCUACGAUGGCUAGGGGAUCUGAGAGGACGGUCCCCCACACUGGUACUGAGACACGGACCAGACUCCUGCGGGAGGCAGCAGUAAGGGAUAUUGGUCAAUGGGGGGAACCCUGAACCAGCCAUGCCGCGUGAGGGAAUGAGGCCCUACGGGUCGUGAACCUCUUUUAUUCGGGGACAACGGCGGCGUCGCGAACGCCGCGUGAGGGUACCGAAGGAAUAAGCGUCGGCUAACUCCGUGCCAGCAGCCGCGGUAAUACGGAGGACGCGAGCGUUAUCCGGAUUUAUUGGGUUUAAAGGGAGCGCAGGCUGAAGGUUAAGCGUGACGUGAAAUGUAGCCGCUCAACGGCUGAACUGCGUCGCGAACUGGCUUUCUUGAGUGAGUUCGAUGUAGGCGGAAUUCGUGGUGUAGCGGUGAAAUGCUUAGAUAUCACGAAGAACCCCGAUUGCGAAGGCAGCCUACAAGGCCUUUACUGACGCUAAAGCUCGAAGGUGCGGGUAUCGAACAGGAUUAGAUACCCUGGUAGUCCGCACGGUAAACGAUGGAUGCCCGCUGUUUGCGAUAUACAGUAAGCGGCCAAGAGAAAUCGUUAAGCAUCCCACCUGGGGAGUACGCCGGCAACGGUGAAACUCAAAGGAAUUGACGGGGGCCCGCACAAGCGGAGGAACAUGUGGUUUAAUUCGAUGAUACGCGAGGAACCUUACCCGGGCUUGAACUGCAGCGGAAGGAUACAGAGAUGUUGACGUCCUUCGGGACCGCUGUGGAGGUGCUGCAUGGUUGUCGUCAGCUCGUGCCGUGAGGUGUCGGCUUAAGUGCCAUAACGAGCGCAACCCUUUUCAUCAGUUGCCAUCAGGUGAUGCUGGGCACUCUGUUGAUACUGCCACCGUAAGGUGUGAGGAAGGUGGGGAUGACGUCAAAUCAGCACGGCCCUUACGUCCGGGGCUACACACGUGUUACAAUGGGGUAUACAGAAGGCAGGAUCAUGGCAACAUGGUUCAAAUCUAGAAAGUGCCCCUCAGUUCGGAUUGGGGUCUGCAACCCGACCCCAUGAAGCUGGAUUCGCUAGUAAUCGCGCAUCAGCCAUGGCGCGGUGAAUACGUUCCCGGGCCUUGUACACACCGCCCGUCAAG